UUCUCAUCUUUUAUGGGAUAGUAAGGUUUUCGUCAGGAUGAACCAGUACUUGUCUCAUUCUCAUCUUUGGUUUGAGAAAAGAAAAAAAAAGUGAAAAACUGAAAUCCCAAAUGCUAGUAGAAGCUUGAGAAUUGACAACACCAAGCACCAUGCAGAUUCUUACAGUCGUUACCAAAGUAAUUUUGAACAAGUUGGUUGAUUUUGUUUCCCAUGAGAUCGGUUUAGCUUGGGGUGCCAAAUAUGAGUUUAUAAAGCUUCAAGACACCUUGGAGAUGAUUCUUUCAGUGAUAGCUGAUGCUGAGAAGAAGCAAGUUAAGGAUGCAGCUGUAAGACUUUGGUUGGCAAGGCUCAGGGACGUUGCGUAUGACGCUGAUGACGUGAUGGAUGACUUCUGCUACGAAACCAUGCGUCGGAGUAAUAGAGGGAACAACUUGACAAGUAAGGUAUUCGAUUUUGCUUCAUCUUCCAACCCACUUGCAUUUCGUUUCAAGAAGGCAAAAAAGAUUAAAAAAAUCAACCAAAGAUUAGAUGUAAUUGCCAAAGAUAUGGGUAGGUUUCAGUUUCUAAUUGCAUCAAGUGAUGCUCCUACACUUCGUAAUGAACACAAGGAGCGGCAAACCACAUCUUUAUUAAACAAUGAGUCAGAAAUUGUAGGAAGGGAUGGUGACAAAAAUGAGUUAAUAAAAUUAUUAACCACGGUCACACCGGUAUCAUCAACCUCAUCUGAUUAUAGAAAUCUUGAAAAGGUUUCUAUCGUUUCAUUAGUGGGGAUGGGGGGGCUCGGGAAGACAACCCUAGCUCAACUUGUCUAUAAAGAUGACCUGGUAAAGACACACUUUGAUCCGAUGAUGUGGGUCUGUGUGUCUGACCAGUUUGAUGUGGAAAACAUCUUAAUAAAAGUUUUGGAGUCCAUUACUGAAGCUGAGAUUAGUAUAACAAAUUUUGAUGUACUGGUGAAAAAAGUUCAUGAUAAGUUAAACCGGCGUAGAUUUUUGCUAGUACUUGACGAUCUGUGGAAUGAGGAUCAAGAGCAAUGGGAAAGACUUUUAUCUCCGUUGCUCGCAGGUGCCCAAGGGAGUAGAAUAUUAAUCACUACACGGAAAGACCAAGUUGCAUCUGUUGUUGGGGGGAGUAUUCCUCCAUUUGUUUUGAAACAGUUACCAGAAGAUGCAUGUUGGUCAAUCAUGGAGCAAAAGGUUUUUUCCAACAACAGAGCACAAAUUACUCCAAAAAUGAUAAAUAUAGGAUAUCAAAUAGUAAGAAGGUGUGGUGGUUUACCACUUGCAGCGAAAUUUCUUGGAAGUCUAAUGCGCUCAAAAAGUAAAGAAAGUGACUGGAUAUCGAUAAGAGAUGAUGAUAUUUGGAACACACCGGAAAGCCACAGCAGAAUCCUUCCUGUACUAAAAUUAAGCUAUGGUAACUUGCCAUCUCAUCUGAAACAAUGUUUUUCUUUUUGCUCAAUCUUUCCCAAUUAUUGGGUAAUAAGUAAAAAAAGUAUAACUGAGCUUUGGAUAGCUGAAGGAUUUGUAAAACCAUCGGAUAUGCAUAACAAAAGAUUGAUGGAAGAUUCUGCAGAUGAAUAUUUCGAAAGUUUGGUGCAGAGCUCCUUUUUCCAUUGUGUUAAUAAGAGCAGCUUAGGUGACAUAGAGAUGUUUACAAUGCAUGAUCUUGUACAUGAUUUAGCACAAGAUGUUGCUGGGGAUCAUGAACUGAGUUCUCUCAAGUUAAGUGAGUUGAAAAAUGUUUCCAAACUUCGUCGUUUACAGCUAACACUAGAUGAACAACUAUCAGCAGCAUCUCUGAAUUCAUUAAGCAGUGCGAAGAAGUUGCGGACUAUCAUUGUACCUGCUCGAAAAUUUGGAUUGCACCCUAAUGUUUUCUCAAGUAAUAAGCAAUUACGUGUGUUACAUGUAGGCAAUCCAACAGGUUAUUCUAAACAUUCAAAGUUAUCUGAUCUGAAUGUCAAGUGCAGACACUUGAGGUAUCUUUACCUUUCCUUUUAUAAUCUCAGUCAAUCUGUGAAUCAUCAGUCAAUCAGUAAACUUUACAAUCUGCAGUCAUUGGUAUUCUUUAACAUGCGUGGUAUCCAGAAUCUUCUUGAAAAUAUUCAACCCUUACAAAAAUUAAGACUUCUUGAUCUUUCCUUCUCAGAUAUAGAAAAAUUACCUGAUUCUGUAACAAGUCUUUGUAAUUUGCGAGCAUUGCAUCUCAGCAAUUGCAAAAAUUUAAAAGCCUUCCCCAACUCUGUCUCUGGUUUGAAAUAUCUUAGAAUUCUUGAUUUGUCGAGAACACCCAUUGAACGAUUACCUGAUUUUGUUAGUAACCUUCAUAAUUUGAAUACAUUGGUUCUCAAUAGUUGCUCUAAGUUAAGAUCCUUACCCGAUUAUGUUACACGUCUUGAUAAGUUGAGUAUAUUUGAUAUAGAAAGAUGUUCAUUGCUAGAAGCAUUACCCACCGAUUUUGGUGCAUUGUCUCAGUUAAGGUCCCUCAACCUGGCUGGCACUAAGAUCAAGAUAUUACCCAAUUCAUGCGCUAACCUCACCAAUCUUGAAUUAUUGCAUCUUUUCUGGUGUGAGCUCCCGAAAGAUGUAAAGAAUUGGACAAAACUGAGGAAGUUUACUUACUUUGGGGAAGGAAUGCCAACGGGUAUAGGUGAACUAGUUAACCUUCGACACCUGACUUACAAUGUGCGGGAAGAAGUCAUCGGCAAGCCUGAAUGUAACAGUUGUAUUGAUGAGUUAGGAAAUCUGAAUUUCCUAGAGAUGUUAUUUAUUUAUGAUCUUCAGAACGUGAAAGAACGGGUUGAUGCCGAGAGAGCGAAUUUGAAGGAGAAGCGGGGCCUUCACAAGUUGCAACUCUGUUGGCAUUUGCCUAAAGGUUCAAAGAUGUGGCUGGACAACGAGUUCUGUAGUCACAGUACUAUGAUAUUAGAAGCUCUCCAACCCCACACUGGAUUGAAAUGGUUGAAUAUAUUUAACUUCGUUGGAUGUGAACUUCCCAUGUGGAUGUGUAUUCCAUCUUGUCUUCCAAAUUUGGAAAGACUGGAACUUAGUAACUGCCAUGGGAUGAAAGAACUUCCUGCUGCUAUCGGGGAACUUCCACGUCUUACUCAUCUCCGGCUUGAAAACAUGCGUUUAAGGAGUUCAGAUGUCUAUUUUCCUUUAUUAACUAGACUCGAUCUUACUGAUAUGUUCCUACUUGAAAAAUUGCAUUAUUCCUAUCCUUCUCUUAAGGAAUUGGUUUUAUGGGGUACGGACUUCAAGUUUUUAAGGUCAGUUGAGAGAAGUCAGAUCAGCUCUCUGACUACCCUUCGGUUAGACAAUGUUGUGGAGCUUGUAGUCUUUCCAAAACGGAUACUCCAAAACAAUUGUAGCCUCCGGUAUCUGAUAUUUCGAAACUGCAAUCAGUUGCAAGGAUUUUGCGCAACUGAUGAUGAUAAUUACAGGGAGGUUGCACUGUUUGACCCUGAAUUCCUGGGUAGCUCUCUUCAGGAAUUGGACUUUGCAAAUUGUCCAGUUCUCCGUUAUCUGCCAGAUUUACGAGGAUGGACUUCCCUUCGGCUAUUAAGCAUCUUCAAUUGCUCCCAACUGAAGGAAUCAAUCACCUAUGAUCUGAAAUCCCUUUCCUUUCUGGAAAUUCUCAAUGUUGAUUAUAUUCAAAGAGAGGGGCAGCUUGGAGAUCCAUGUGAUGAAUAUGAUAUGAUUAAUUUGAUGGACAACAUGUAAAUGAGGUUUCUCAUAUGAUUUCCUUUAACUAGUUGAAUAGCAUUGGGAAGCAGUGGAACUGUAAAAGGCUUAAAGCAGAGGCCGGAAUUGGGUAUAGAAAAAAAUUCACCGCCUUUAAGGAUGAAAUGUGUAAGAUCGAUACUGGGUUGGGGAAAACGCGACAUGAAAAUUAAUCUGGAUGACAUUUGAAUGCUACUUCUGGUGUUGAUUACCUGUAUUUGUGUAUUCUAUCGUCUGCAGUUUCGUCAAGCAAGGACUUUCUGCAUUCGAUAACAGAUCCUGGAACCCAUGUACCAACAUACUUCUGCAACUAUGCAAAGAAAGGUUCAGGAAUUGUGUUAUCAAGGCAUAGAGAAUUUCAUCCGUUUUUUUUUUCCUGUUCCAGGAUUUGGGCUGUCAAAGUUCAGGGUGACUUCAUUAAUAUGCAAAAUUUCCAAGCAGGGGAUCUUUUCAUUGCUUAUAGAGAAGAGAAUUCUGGAAAACAUGUAAGUCGUCUCUCUCUGAGCCUCCUGCUUUAUAACAUCUACUGGAGGAAACAUAAGUUCUUUGAUAAAGAUCCACUCGUUGAAUCAUAACGAUCUCAUAUGGACGUUUAGUAGUCCGUAGAGUUAAAGUAACCCAUGUUGAACCAAACGACUGUACAUUUAAGAAACAUAAAACAUAAAACCCUUUCUUGUCAUCUCCCAAACAAAAUUUACGGGCCUUGCCUAUAUUUUGCUUGUGUUCUGAAUUCUUAUCUGUGUGCUUAUAUUCUUGUUUGAAGCUUGGUGGUAGGUCAUUGACAUUUAUGUUUCAACGAUGGGACUUUUGGAUUUUGAAACUUGUUUAGUUGUGAUAUAUACCCAUGUUAAAAAUGUUGAUGCGGACAGUACUUGCUGCAAUUGUUUCCCGUGUGCAUUUAAUUCCCCUAUCAGAACCUCAGUAUCCGGCCUUCUCUUGUACUUACUAAGGAGCUUGCUUGGUUUAAUUCCCCAACUUGUUCUUACUUCUUCGAACUUGUGCGGUUUCAACUUGGCUACUUGACAAUGCCCAACAAGAGUUUCCGGAUUUUUAUGGUUAUGCCAACCAAUAUCAAUUAUAUUCAUUCUCCACAUGUCAUUGGUUGCUUUGUUCCUCCAAAAUAUAAUCUUGAAUGGGCAUCCACACUUCUUUGACUUCGUCUUGUACACCCAGUCGUCUUCUUAUCAUACACAUAACCCUUGCUCUUGUGACUUGCGUCCGGCGACCCAUAACCCUCGCAUACCAUUUCAAACCGCAUAUCUUUUUGUUGGGUAUUUUUCACUAGAACGCACGUCUUCUCUUUUGCUUUCUCAACGACCCACUUGACCGCGUCGUCUUUUUCCUUUCAUUCUAAAUCAUUAGCGCAAUGUGCGGAAGUAUCAGGACCCCUAAUAUUGUGAUCUUGAGGCUGAUCCGUCAUCGGUACCAAUGCAACAAUAUACAAAACAUCAAAAUUUAGUUGAUAUGUAUUACCAAAGUCGGCAGGAUCGACAUAUAAAACUAUGCCGACUACAAAAUAGCCGGCAUGGCAUAAAAAAAUUUAACAGUGCCGACCGAACUGUAUUCCGCAAGGUCCAAAAAGAUUAAGAUGCCGGCGUAAGCAUUUUCAAGUCGCGACUUCUAUGCUGCAAAAAACUGGAAGUCGGCAUAUGGUUCAAAUUUUCUACCUCACCGACACGGAUACUGUUCAUGAAAAGUCGGCACGUUGUUCAAAUAUAAACUACGCCGGCGCUUAGGUCGACAUGAUCGACAAGCGUCGACCUUGCCGAUCCUGGGAAGCUAAAGUGAGAAAA
Molecule: RNA transcript, 5518 nt
Organism: Papaver somniferum (opium poppy)
Lineage: Eukaryota; Viridiplantae; Streptophyta; Magnoliopsida; Ranunculales; Papaveraceae
Gene name: amino acid transporter AVT6C-like
Exons: 5
Source: RefSeq, a predicted model, not a curated record